Molecule: long non-coding RNA, 574 nt
Organism: Ornithorhynchus anatinus (platypus)
Lineage: Eukaryota; Metazoa; Chordata; Mammalia; Monotremata; Ornithorhynchidae
Exons: 2
Source: RefSeq, a predicted model, not a curated record
AAGGGGUAUAUUCAGGUGUUUUGGAAACUUCCCAACUCUGAGGUCCUGGAAACUCCUUGGGAUUUAGUAUAAGAAGAAACCUAGGAUAUCUUCAAUGCAGAUGUUCCUACAGUAAGAACAUCUUCUGGCUCCCCAAGGAGUCUCUCUCAAUGAAAUCUUGAGGCACCACCAGGAUGGAGAGAAGUGCACACAUCUGCUGCACCCAGCCAGUGUCAAUCAUGCCAACUAGGUGGUUCUGCUUCUUAACCCAGACUAACGGAGCCCCCAGCCUGCAUGUUAAACUGUCAAAAGAAAUGGCUUGAAUUGGGAAGUAUAAUCAUCAUAUACUGACCUGAAAUGUGCAGCCAUAACGCUUAAAACUACACGUACUUGGGGCAUUAAUACAUUCUGACAAAUGUGCAUUCAACUGCAACGGGAAAAAAAUGUGAGUUUUGGAACAAACGAUUGCAUGAUAAUGCUCAAACAUUAAGGGCACAGAUAAUCAGGGUUGUAUUACUAAGUAUGGUGUUAAGUACACAGGUGUAUAUAUUAUCUGCUUUCUAGACGAAUACAGUAAAUAUACUGUACUAUGAAA